RNAcentral lists this long non-coding RNA (1074 nucleotides) under Homo sapiens (human). RNAcentral describes it as "non-protein coding lnc-TOP1MT-4:2". The record is from RNAcentral. Lineage: Eukaryota; Metazoa; Chordata; Mammalia; Primates; Hominidae.
ACUUCCGGCGACGCUCUGGGCAGCGGGAGGACAGCGCGCUCGGCGGCGGGAGAGCGGGACGGCCCAGCCGCGGCGCCUUCAGCUCAUCGGUUGCCCGCAGGCGCCGGCCGAGUCCUUCCUGCCGGGCAGGAAGCCCUGCCUCGUGGGGGGCAAGGUCGAGCCGUUGGCGCGCCGGGAUCCGGCUCGAGCCAACUGAGGACCGGGCACCCGCAGGACGUGUCAGGAGGUGUCGAAGGCCCGCUGUGGGGCGGCCACGCGCGUUCCCGUCCGUUCCCCGCGGCGUCCCGCGCUUGUCCCGGGUCCCGCUCGGCUCACGGGACCCUCCAGGCCCCCGGGGCUGUGGCAGCACGCGGGUCCCGAGCGUGGGCUUCCUUGGGGCCGAGAGCUUGGAGCGCCCCAGGCGCUGCCCCCCGCCUCCCUGCAGGACGCCGCCCUCGCGUCUCCGCUGCAGAGAAGCCCUUGCUGCCCGCCUCUCGCGGGCUCUGGGCUCUUUCUCACCAGGGACCGAGCUCUCAUUCGUUCAGCCUUCCCCGGCUGGAAUGCUGCAAAAGUGACGCUUUUCAUCAUGGGUGCAAAGUGUACAGCUGCAAUGUGGACUUGUUCCCUCUUACAACGAGUAGACAGACCCUCUCUGGGGAGAAAAGAAAGGCUGAAGAACCGAUUCCCAUGAGAGAACCCUAAGAAGACAGCAACAGAGGGCCAGACGCGCCCCUGGAACUGGACCCUGGACUGGGGCGGGAGGGCCACAGCCUUGGGAGCCCAGGUCCCUGCCCGCGCCUCCGACAGUCCCGCGCCGCCGCCACCCGGCAUCUGCCUCUGGGCCUCCACAUCUCGUGCCUGGAACCGCGUUCAUUGCGCACUGCACCAGUAAACACCUGAACACUCCCACCACAUGCUGCACGUUUAUUUGUAACAAAUUAGAAGCUGUUGUAAAAGAUAAAAAUUAAAACACUUAGACUGGGUGGGCGAGAGGCUCAUGAAUGUAAUCCCAGCACUUUGGGAGGCCAAGGCAGGAGGAUUGUUUGAGUCCAGGAGUUUCAGACCAGCCUGAGCAACAUAGUUAGAACCGUGUCG